This 996-nucleotide long non-coding RNA is filed under the name Zea mays. Its description in RNAcentral is "long non-coding RNA NONZMAT000237". Lineage: Eukaryota; Viridiplantae; Streptophyta; Magnoliopsida; Poales; Poaceae. The record is from RNAcentral.
GUGUUAUUUGUUGAGACAGUUUACUGAUGAUAUUGUGAGGUUGUGCCCUAAAUUCCAACUCUUUUGCUUUGUCUCGAUGAGAUUUGGGGUAGUCAGGUUGCAGCCUGCUUUCUGUAUCGUUUCUGAAAACCAGUGCGGCAACAGCAAAGCAGAUUUUUUUUUUUUUUUUUUGUCCAGCAACUGCUAUUUUCAUUCAGUGAUGGCUGCUUUAGGUCAUGCUGGUGUGCUCUUCGGGACUGGUCUUGUGUUAGUUUUUUUUUGUGACUUUGAGCAUAUCGGUAUACUGCAUGUAAUCUACUGUGCGUCUGAAAUUUCUUUUUGAGAACAGCAACAAUAGAGUCGCACCGAUCUGCAGGGCUUCUGUACAAAGUUUUUUGAUAUAUCACUUUCAAUCUAUUGUAAAACAAUCAUUAAUGCCUAAAUAGUGAUCGGUCGUUGGUAGCUUUAUUUGAUUGCCUUGCACUUAAACAGCAGUCUGUUUGUCAUCCUUCUUUUCAGCACCAUAUUUCUUUCAUCACUUCAGUGAGCAGUAGCAGGAUAAAAGGUUCAGUCUCAGUCUCAGGUGCUCUAAAUUGUUUUGCUGUUUCAGCAGCUGUAGACCUUUUCUCUGCUCCAAACUGCGGUGAAACUAGGAGGUGUUUUUCAGCUGUGUGGCAUGAUCGUUUUUUCAUGCAUCUGUGCUAUGUGUUUUCUUGGAUCACUUCCGAAAUGAUUCGAGAUAAUCGUAAUCGUUCCUAGGGUCGAUAUGCCACAAGUUGGUGUGUGUGAUCUUGACAAUUACAAGUGAGAUGAGACAUGUGUUGUUUGGGAUAUAGGCCAAGAUCUUGCUGAUAAUUUUAAUUGGCUCUCAUUCUCCCUCUCCUGGUACUGCUGAAGGCUCCUCCCUCCCAACAGCUAACAUGCAUAGUACAAAGGUAUUUUAUUUAAAAAAAACAGUGACAUUGAAGGAGCAAAUAAUGUUAUCUUCCUACGGAACUCUGAUCUGCACUUUUUUCA